GUUUCACUUAAUAAAUAAAAAUCAGACACCAGUGUCACGGAGAGGCCGUCUGAAUCAAGAACUCACAUUUUGAAAUAGAACUGAAUAUAAAUAUUGGAUCCCAAUAACUCUAAAUUUGAAGCACACAGAAUUCAUCUCAGUCUUUUUUUGUGGCUGAGGGCCUCUGUAUCUCUUGCUAGCUUUUGUGGGGAAAACUUCUAAAAAAAAGGCAUCACAACUAUUUAUAUUUGUUUGUUUGGUAUGGGGUUGAACAGCAUCAAGCAGAAAGCCAGAGAUGUAUUUAGAUUCAUUUCCCUGGAAUACGGGUGGGGAUGGACAUGUUCUUGAUUAAAACUGGGAGUUUAGAAGAUUGUUUCCCAAGGUUAUUUUUGGUUGUUGAAGUCUGGAUCUAAAGCUUGUCGCCUGGCUCCAACCCCUACACAUUCAUAUCUGAUUUGGCCAAUUUGGAACUUAAUCUUUAUUUGGAAGCAAAGGAGAGCAACUGUUCACAGAUUUUAAGGGAUGCCCCAAUUUUUCUUAGGACAGUGUAAAGCUAUUUGAGGUAAUCUGGGUCUUACAAAUGCAUCUGUUUUGCACCUUGUCAAUAUAUUUUGUUACCAGAUGAAGGGAAGAUUGGGAAAUCUCUGAAAUUCCUUUUGAUGUCUAGGGAAAGGAGAAGACUUUUGUAUAAGGACACCCACCUGAAAAGUUUUCUCAUCACAUUGCCCUCCAGAGCAAUUUGGCUAAAGGUGUGACGUCAAAGUGCAUUCAGAAACUGUCAGCAUUGUGAUGCACGAGCGGGUUGUCACCGCAAAAAUGUCCCCAGCAAGGGUUCAGCUGUGUCCUGGGGCAAGGCAUCAGGAUGCUCCCAGUGGAACAUCAGGAUGUGGCAGGAUGUCGAGGCCCAUCAAAGGGAAGGAUCGCAAAAGUCACUGCCUUCUGCUCCCCUCUGCCCUAGGCAGGGCAGGUGUCCCUGCUGGCUUUGCCCUCUCCAUGCUUGUUUGUGUGACCAGACUCAUGAAGGAGCAGAGCGGAAACCGUUAGAGAGACCAUUUCCAAGCACAGCUGCCCAGAAAACUUCAUGGUGUAUAUUCAUGGCAUUUCCCUCCGGAUGGCAGAGCAGCAAGGAUUCUUUGUGUAAACCCCAUUUAAAGAUUUAAUUUAGCUUCAUUGCUCUGCUCCCUGAGGUGGCUGGAGCAAUGAGAGGAGAGUCACCACUUUCCUUUCAGAGUAGAGCGCUGACAAUGAAAAAAAUUAAAUUUGUAUGUUCUGUCCCAACAAACAGUACUUCUAAAGGGAAUAUUAUGUCAGUACUGUGGCUAGUUAUUUUUUAGUCCCAGUGGUCUGGGGCUGCACAACAGCCACAAGCAUCAUAUCAGAGUGUCCACUUCCAAAAACCUUUUCUUCUGCAGAGUCAAGAGGAUCCAAGAAGAAGUUUUAAUUUCAGUCUGGCAGCAGAGAAAAGCGAAUGCAUGUGGAGUGAGGAGUCAGGAGUACAGACCCACUAGUUCUUCAUGAACUGCACAUGAGUGUUUUUACACUGAGUUGUUCUACUCAAUGCAAAAACAUUGAGGAUGGCACUGCUGGUCUUAUCACAAACUGCUUGACAAACCACUACUCCACUUGCCAGGUGAAUUUUGUCAAGUACCUGCGAAGCGAAGCCUGACACUAAAAAACAGUAAACUGCAAAAUGUGGGGACCUUCGCUGGUCUCGCCAUUUAAUUUGUACAUUUUCUUUGUAUUCCUCCAACAUGUCACUGUUAGCCUGUUUGUAUUAGAACUGAGAAUUAUCUGAAUGCAAAUACUAUGUCUCUGUGUACGUAUUGGUGCAUCAAGCAGUCUCUUGCUGCCUUCUCUAGGCCUGUUUCAAACAAUUGUUAUAGCAGUUCAUAAUUUUAAUUUAAACAUUUUUAUUAGUAAUUCAUUUAUUAUCUGAUGGGAAAACUGAGCCUGGUCUCAUCUCUUGCUGGACACCUGAGACCUAGCAUGUACCUGCACUUUGGAGGUAGAAACCUGUGGCUCUGAGAAGCUUCACUGCUCCCUGAAUCAUCUGCUGCCGUUCAUAGCAGCACCCUGGUCCUCCUGCAGCUGUGCAACACCUACCAGCUAUCAACCUCUAAAGCAACAAGUCAAUAAGAAAAUUGUUUUCUCGCUACACCACUAGAUGCCCACCUUUCUAGCUAAGUGGUCCAGGGACUGGAAACAAGUUUUUUUCUCUUUGAGCGGUGAAUAUUCUUGAGCUGUCACAGUGUAGAAGGGUAUUUUUUGACAUACAGAUGACCUCAGUUCUAUCUAAGAUUUCAUGGGUAUGUACCCUGGCAAAAAACAUUUACCUUCCUCUGAGCAGUGCAUUGAUUAAUACAGUAGUACAUGAUAAUAUCCUAACAAUAAACUGAUUAAUAUUUUGAUAAAUCA
Molecule: long non-coding RNA, 2394 nt
Filed under: Anser brachyrhynchus (Pink-footed goose)
Lineage: Eukaryota; Metazoa; Chordata; Aves; Anseriformes; Anatidae
Description: lncRNA (ENSABRG00000005105.1)
Source: RNAcentral